This 433-nucleotide ribosomal RNA is filed under the name uncultured bacterium. RNAcentral's name for it is "partial 16S ribosomal RNA". It matches the Rfam family "Bacterial small subunit ribosomal RNA", at positions 29 to 507 of the family's 1533-position model. The record is from RNAcentral.
AACGAACGCUGGCGGCAUGCCUAACACAUGCAAGUCGAACGAGACCUUCGGGUCUAUUGGCGCACGGGUGCGUAACGGGUGGGAACCUGCCCUUAUGUUGGGCAUAACUCCCCGAAGGGGAUGCUAAUACCGAAUAAUGGCUUCGGCCCAAAGAUUUAUCGCAUUUGGAUGGGCCCGCGUUGGAUUAGCUAUUUGGUAGGGUCAAAGCCUACCAAGGCUACGAUGCCUAGAUGGUAUGAGAGGCUGGUCAGCCACACUGGGACUGAGACACGGCCCAGACUCUUACGGGUGGAAGGAGUGGGGAAUGUUGGACAACGGGCGAGAGCCUGAGCCAGUAAUGCCGCGAGAGUCAUGAAGGCGUGAGGGUUGUGAAGCACUUUUGCAAGGGAUCAUAAUGACAGUAUCGUGCGAAUAAGAUACGGCUAACUACGUG